AGGCAGGCUUCCUACUCAUACUAAAAAUAAGUGACUUUCCUAAACUCAGGUUCCUGCCUGGUGUGACCGUCUCACCCGGCCUCUUCACAUCGCGCUCUGGGUAUUGGAGUCUACGGAUCCCACACAAGAAAAUGCCGAGACUCUGGCUACUGCUGUUGCAAGGCCCUUGAUGGUGGACAGACCCCAGCACGGCCCUGGACAGAUUGUGAGGCACAGAGAAGUCACCUGCCACCUCCCCACCGUCAGAACAAUGAUGGCAGACACCACCAGGUCCUGAGGCUCUCCUGGCCUUUGGGCACUGUUCCUGCUGCCUUACAGACAUGAUCUCAUUGAACACUCAUGAACACUCACAACAUCAUAAGCCUCACUCGGGCAUCUAUGCUAGACACUGAGGGGACAGCAGAGAGCCAAGAAGACAAAAACCUUGGCUGUCAGAGAAAGAGGUUGCGUUCUAGUGGGGGAAAUAGACAAAAUAAGGAACACACAUGGUACAGUUGUGUGUCACUUAACAGUGGGGAUAUGUUAUGAGAAAUGUGAAGGCAAUUUCAUCAUCGUGUGAACAUCAUAAUGUUAUAGGAGUUAAUAAGAAAUUAUUUUAGGCAGAUAGGGAAAGCGGUCCUUGGAAAGUUUUUGUUUCUUUUAAAGCAGCUAAAGAAAAGUUUCUUAUCUAGCAGGAAAGCUCCGGCUCUUAGAGCUAGGCCGGCAACCUCUGAUAUGCAAAUAAAUGCUGGCCAUUAGAAAAUGGGUCCACCCAAACAUGGCGAUUCUCACCCUCUUCCUUGCCCUCACAUGUGCCUGGCAACAUGGCGGCACCCCCAUAUCCCCAUGUGUGUAGAAUAUCAUGGCGCCCUGCAUUUGCAAAAAAAAAAAAAAAGUGUAUAUAUAACUUCUGUUAAUCAAAAGUCGCAACUAAGAAAAUAAAAAUGCAAGCCACAAAGUGGGAGAAGUUACUUGCAAUACAUUUCCUAACAAAGGAUUCGUAUCUAAAAUAUAUAAAGAAUUCCUACAAAUUAAUAAGGAAAGGGUAGAUGACCGCAAAGAAACAUUACAAAGUCUUGAAUAAACACAGAAGACAAUAUCCAAAUGGCCAAUAACAUAGGAAAAAGUAUUCGACUCCAUCACUCAUCAAGGAAAUGCAAAUUAAAACCACAAUGAGGCCUGGCGCGGUGGCUCAUGCCUGCAAUCCCAGCACUUUGAGAGGCUGAGGCAGGCGGAUCACGAGGUCAGGAGAUUGAGACCAUCCCGGCUAACAUGGUGAAACCCCGUCUCUACUAAAAAAAUACAAAAAGUUAGCUGGGGGUGGUGGCACACGCCUGUAGUCCCAGCUACUCAGGAGGCUGAGGCAGGAGAAUCGCUUGAACCUGGGAGGCAUAGGUUGCCGUGAGCUGAGAUCACGCCACUGCACUCCAGCCUGAGCAACAGAGUGAGACUCCAUCUCAAAAAAAAAAAAACAAACAAAACCAAAACAAAAACAAAAAACCCCAAAAAACACCACAAUGAGGUGUCUGUAGACACACAUCAAAAUGUUUCAAAAUUAUUAAAAUAUUGACCGCAUAAAGCGUUAGUGCGAUGGUUAAUUUUAGGUGUCAUCUAAACUGUGCCACAGAGUGCCUCAUUAAAUCAUAUUUCUGGAUGUGGCUGCGAGGGUGUUUCUGGAUGAGAUUAGCAUUUGAAGGAGUGGACUCAGUGAGGCAGGUUUUCCUCCCCAGUGUGGAUGGGUACCAUCCAAUCCGUUGAGGGGCUGAAUGGAACAAAAAAAGCAGCGAAGAGUGAAUUUGCCAAAUUUUGCUUCCAGCCUUCCUGUUUGAGCUGGGACAUCAGUCCUCUGCUGCCCUUGGACUGGGAUUCACAUCGUUGGCUCUGGCCUUUGGACUUGGACUUAGACUGGAAUCACAGCACUGGUUUUCCUGGGUCUCCAGCUUGCAGAUGGCAGAUCACAGGAUUUCUCAGCCUCUAUAAUCACCUUAAGCCAAUUCAUUAUAAUGAAUCUCUUCCUAUGGCCUAUUUGUUCUAUUUCUCUGGAGAGCCCUAACUAAUACAACCAGUGGGUUGUGAGGCAAUGGGAACUACUUCCACUGCCUAUUCAAGACUUUUGAAUGAUUCUUUCUGGUCGUCUGUCUUUUCCUUAUUGAUUUGUAGGAAUUCUUUAUAUAUUUUAGAUGUGAAUCCUUUGUUAGGAAAUAUAUUGCAAGUAUCUUCUCCCAUUUUAUGGCUUGCCAUUUCAUUUUCUUAGUUAUGGUUGUAGCAGUAUAAAUUGGUACAAUCACUUUGGAAAACUGGUUGCAAGUAUCUAUUAAAACUGAACUUAUGUGAA
Homo sapiens (human) is the source of this 2314-nucleotide long non-coding RNA. NCBI's taxonomy places the organism in Eukaryota, Metazoa, Chordata, Mammalia, Primates, Hominidae. The record is from Ensembl.